This 253-nucleotide ribosomal RNA is filed under the name uncultured bacterium. RNAcentral describes it as "partial 16S ribosomal RNA". It matches the Rfam family "Bacterial small subunit ribosomal RNA", at positions 524 to 776 of the family's 1533-position model. The record is from RNAcentral.
UACGUAGGGUGCAAGCGUUAAUCGGAAUUACUGGGCGUAAAGCGUGCGCAGGCGGUUAUAUAAGACAGAUGUGAAAUCCCCGGGCUCAACCUGGGAACUGCAUUUGUGACUGUAUAGCUAGAGUACGGUAGAGGGGGAUGGAAUUCCGCGUGUAGCAGUGAAAUGCGUAGAUAUGCGGAGGAACACCGAUGGCGAAGGCAAUCCCCUGGACCUGCACUGACGCUCAUGCACGAAAGCGUGGGGAGCAAACAGG